RNA transcript from Carya illinoinensis, 2185 nucleotides. It is a transcript of the gene named ultraviolet-B receptor UVR8, with no coding region annotated. The transcript is spliced from 10 exons. NCBI's taxonomy places the organism in Eukaryota, Viridiplantae, Streptophyta, Magnoliopsida, Fagales, Juglandaceae. The record is from RefSeq and is a predicted model, not a curated record.
GAUUGAAAUAUCUGACCGGUUUUUCAGGUCUAGAAGAUUCUUCUCCUUCAAGGAGGGGAGGCUUUUGGGUCCUUGAGCCAUUGCCGAAGAUACGCAGCCAAGUCCGCCCUAACUUCCACUUUGUCGGACCAACCAUCUCAUUUCCACCUUCCCGCAAAUCUUUCACGAUCUCAAGUUUCCUCUUCUUUUGAGGAAUUGAUUGAAUUCCAACCUAUUCUUCAUAUUCAGGGAUAUAAAUGGAUAUUAAUGAAAUUGUUGACACUACUCGACCCAAAAACCUCCCGACAAAGAGUGCAAUUUAUGUAUGGGGCUAUAAUCAGUCGGGGCAGACGGGUAGGAAAGGCAAAGAGUGCCAGUUAAGGAUCCCCAAGCAGCUUCCUCCCGAGCUAUUUGGGUGCCCGGCUGGUGUCAAUUCGCGUUGGUUGGACGUUGCUUGUGGUCGUGAGCAUACUGCGGCAGUGGCCUCUGAUGGGUCACUUUUCACAUGGGGGGCUAAUGGCUUUGGUCAAUUGGGAGAUGGAACUGAGGAGCCAAGGAAGCACCCUAAGAAAGUUAAACAAUUGCAGACAGAGUUUGUGAAAUCUGUAUCUUGUGGAGCACAUUGUACUGCUUGUAUAGCAGACACUCGUGAAACUGAUGGAACCGUCUCAAAAAGUAGGCUCUGGGUUUGGGGCCAGAACCAGGGAUCAAAUUUUCCUCGCUUAUAUUGGGGGGCCUUUCCUCCUAAUACGAUUAUCCGCCAAGUGUCGUGUGGGGCAGUGCAUGUGGUGGCCUUAUCAGAGGAUGGCCUACUUCAAGCAUGGGGUUACAAUGAAUAUGGUCAACUUGGCAGAGGUGUUACAUGUGAAGGACUACAGGGGGCUCGUAUAAUAAAUGCUUAUGCGAAGUUCCUUGAUGAAGCUCCUGAGCUUGUGAGGAUUACCGAUGUGUCAUGUGGGGAGUACCACACGGCGGCAAUAUCUGACAAAGGCGAGGUCUAUACUUGGGGUCUAGGAAAUAUGGGGCAACUUGGGCAUAAUUCUCUCCAGUCUGGGGAUAAAGAGCUAUUGCCGAGGAGAGUGGUUGCCCUUGAUGGAAUAUUCAUAAAGGUUGUCGCAUGUGGUGGUGUACAUACAUGUGCUGUGACUCUGAAGGGAGCUCUUUAUGCUUGGGGUGGUGGUCAAGUAGGGCAAUUAGGCCUUGGGCCCCAAACUGGAUUCUUUUCAUGUGUUCCUAAUGAAUCCGAGACAUUUUUUCGCAAUAUCCCUAUUAUGGUUGUUCCAAAUGGGGUGCAACUUAUUGCAUGUGGACAUUCCCACACACUUAUUUCCACCAGGGAUGGAAGAAUUCAUGGAUGGGGUUACAAUAAUUAUGGUCAGGCAGCUAACAAGAAAUCUACAUAUGCUUGGUAUCCAUCACCUGUUGAUUGGUGUGUUGGGGAAGUGCGGAAAAUAGCAGCUGGUGGUGGUCAUUCAGCUGUGUUGACUGAUGCUUGUUCCUUAAAAGAGUUGUGUGAGUUUAGGCUUGCAGAUGGUGUCACUCUAUUAAAUGCUUCUGAGAUCGAGGAUGUUGCUUCCAGAACGGGAUCAGAUGCUUUAGCACGUCUCUGUGAAAAACUGAGGGAACAUAUGCUUGUUGGUGGUGACUGUGAACGCGAAGAUGAUGAGUGAAGAAGCAAUUGAUUUAGCUUCAAGAUGGCUGAUUAUUUUUUCCUGUUGGCCUCUUUUAUCACCAGUUAGGUUAGAAGUGCAAACUCAAAUACUGAUUGAAGCUCGGUAAAUUUAAUUGCUUGGGAACCGCAAUGCUGCUGAUUGAGCUGCUGUGAGUUGAGGAAUGGCUUUGCGCUUAGCUGGUUUCCAUGGUAGGAACCCAUUUGCUCAAGCUGGGGGAGGAUUUUAGCAGACCCUUACUGUAGAUGGUUCAGCAGUGUAGAAGCUCCUUGUCUGGUAGAAUUAGAACUUAGAGUGAAUGUAAAGUACUUCUUGGCUGGUAGAGUUGGUCAAAAUCUAGCUCGUUGUAUAAGAGGCUAAAAAGGGGAGGGCAAGGGGGAAGUGGGUAUUGCCUUGUCCCUGGUGACCUGCUCUAUUUGAGCUUGCUCCUAUUUGUUUGGGGCAACCUUCAUAAAUGGAUAGGUGUCACCAUAUUAAUUAGAUUAGGAGCAAAGGAUGGUUCGUUGUGCCAAAUAGAGCCAAGCGUUUGCCGUCUC